Molecule: ribosomal RNA, 883 nt
Filed under: uncultured bacterium
Lineage: Bacteria
Description: bacterial SSU rRNA
Rfam family: Bacterial small subunit ribosomal RNA
Source: RNAcentral
AGAGUUUGAUCCUGGCUCAGGACGAACGCUGGCGGUGUGCUUCACACAUGCAAGUCGAACGGGGUAGCAAUACCUAGUGGCGGACGGGUGAGUAACGCGUGGGAAUCUGCCUUAAGAUGGGGGAUAGCGGGCCGAAAGGCCCAUUAAUACCGCAUAUGUAAUUAUUCAGACAUGGGUAAUUAUGAAGGGAGUAAUCCGUCUUAAGAUGAGCCCGCGUCCGAUUAGCUAGUUGGUAGGGUAACGGCCUACCAAGGCGACGAUCGGUAGGUGGUCUGAGAGGAUGAUCACCCACAAUGGGACUGAGACACGGCCCAUACUCCUACGGGAGGCAGCAGUGGGGAAUUUUGUGCAAUGGGCGAAAGCCUGACACAGCGACACCGCGUGAGCGAAGAAGCCCUUUGGGGUGUAAAGCUCUGUCGGCUGGAACGAAACAAAUGACGGUACCAGCAAAGGAAGCAUCGGCUAACUACGUGCCAGCAGCCGCGGUAAGACGUAGGAUGCAAGCGUUGUCCGGAUUUAUUGGGCGUAAAGAGUUCGUAGGCGGUCCGUUAAGUCUGAUGUUAAAGAUCGGGGCUCAACCCUGGGAGUGCAUUGGAUACUGGCGGACUGGAGUGCGGUAGAGGCUAGUGGAAUUCCCAGUGUAGCGGUGAAAUGCGUAGAUAUUGGGAAGAACACCAGUGGCGUAGGCGACUAGCUGGGCCGUAACUGACGCUGAGGAACGAAAGCCAGGGGAGCGAAUGGGAUUAGAUACCCCAGUAGUCCUGGCCGUAAACGAUGGAUACUAGGCGUAGCGGGUAUCGACCCCUGCUGUGCCGUAGCUAACGCGAUAAGUAUCCCGCCUGAGUAGUACGGCCGCAAGGUUGAAACUCAAAGGAAUUGACGG